UACGGAGGGUGCGAGCGUUGUCCGGAAUCACUGGGCGUAAAGGGCGCGUAGGCGGCCUGAUAAGUAGGGGGUGAAAUCCUGCGGCUUAACCGCAGGGCUGCCUUCUAAACUGUCAGGCUAGAGCACAGUAGAGGCAGGUGGAAUUCCCGGUGUAGCGGUGGAAUGCGUAGAGAUGUGGAGGAACACCGAUGGCGAAGGCAGCCCCCUGGGUCAAGAUUGACGCUCAUGCACGAAAGCGUGGGGAGCAAACAGG
This 253-nucleotide ribosomal RNA is filed under the name uncultured bacterium. Its description in RNAcentral is "partial 16S ribosomal RNA". It matches the Rfam family "Bacterial small subunit ribosomal RNA", at positions 524 to 776 of the family's 1533-position model. The record is from RNAcentral.